RNAcentral lists this signal recognition particle RNA (98 nucleotides) under Rhodospirillaceae bacterium. Its description in RNAcentral is "signal recognition particle sRNA small type". It matches the Rfam family "Bacterial small signal recognition particle RNA". From Rfam's summary of the family: The signal recognition particle (SRP) is a universally conserved ribonucleoprotein involved in the co-translational targeting of proteins to membranes. Archaeal SRP consists of a 7S RNA and homologues of the eukaryotic SRP19 and SRP54 proteins. In most bacteria, the SRP consists of a 4.5S RNA and the Ffh protein (a homologue of the eukaryotic SRP54 protein). Lineage: Bacteria; Pseudomonadati; Pseudomonadota; Alphaproteobacteria; Rhodospirillales; Rhodospirillaceae. The record is from RNAcentral.
GAAGGCUGGCGUGCGGACGGGGCCCUCGCCAACCCGGUCAGAUCCGGAAGGAAGCAGCCGUAACGAGUUCGCCGCGGGUCGCAGGUUCAGUCUUCCAC